This 343-nucleotide ribosomal RNA is filed under the name uncultured bacterium. RNAcentral describes it as "partial 16S ribosomal RNA". The record is from RNAcentral.
CUCCUUGUUACCACUUCUGAGCCCUGAUCAAACUCUACGGUUACCUUGUUACGACUUUACCUGAGCCAGAUCAAACUUCGCGGUAACCGUAAGUCGCAACAAGGUAACCGUAGAGUUUGAUCAUGGCUCAGGAUAAGUCGUAACAAGGUAGCCGUACGUCGUAACAAGGUAGCCGUAGAGUUUGAUCAUGGCUCAGGUGAAGUCGUAACAAGGUAACCGUAAGUCGUAACAAGGUAACCGCAGAGUUUGAUCCUGGCUCAGGAAAGUCGUAACAAGGUAGCCGUAAGUCGUAACAAGGUAACCGUAGAGUUUGAUCCUGGCUCAGGUGAAGUCGUAACAAGGA